Lampris incognitus (smalleye Pacific opah) is the source of this 405-nucleotide non-coding RNA. The record is from the annotation of a RefSeq genome assembly. Lineage: Eukaryota; Metazoa; Chordata; Actinopteri; Lampriformes; Lampridae.
UUGGCUGCUUUGUGCUUUGAAUGCAGAGCUCAAAAAGACAACGUGCUCCAACCCAAAGGAGAUGUGACUGUUAGUGAGGGAGAGACAGUAACACUGGACUGUCACUAUAACACCAGUGGCACAAAUACAUAUCUUUUCUGGUACAGACAGGCUGCAGACGACAAGCCCACAUUCAUUCUGAGCCGCAUUACUGCUGAAUCAGGGAACACAGCGGACGGGUUCAAGGAGAGAUUUGAUUCCAGCCUGGAUUCCAGCUCAAGAUCAGUUCCUCUGAAGAUCCAGAGUCUGCAGCUGUCUGACUCUGCUGUGUACUACUGUGCUCUGAGGCCCACAGUGACAGGAAACUGCAAGACGUACUACAAAAACCUUUGGAGGGUCUAUCAAGAAUCCAGAGAGGCUCUCUGA